GGCUGAUCUAAAGCAUGUCUCCCAAAAGUGUGCAGCGGUUUUGGGACAAAGACAUGUUUAAAAACAAAGAUCUAAAGCGCGUCGCAUGAAUCAGAUUAAACGCGAUGCGCUUUAGUUUUCGAGCUUUUUGAAUAGCUCUUCGAAAUCCUCCGGGUCGGUGUCGAUCCGGAGGAUUUUUUUACGC
RNAcentral lists this non-coding RNA (184 nucleotides) under Agrobacterium radiobacter. RNAcentral's name for it is "sRNA CI27". It matches the Rfam family "Brucella sRNA CI27". Lineage: Bacteria; Pseudomonadati; Pseudomonadota; Alphaproteobacteria; Hyphomicrobiales; Rhizobiaceae. The record is from RNAcentral.